RNAcentral lists this ribosomal RNA (423 nucleotides) under uncultured bacterium. RNAcentral's name for it is "bacterial SSU rRNA". It matches the Rfam family "Bacterial small subunit ribosomal RNA", at positions 207 to 622 of the family's 1533-position model. The record is from RNAcentral.
AAGACCUUGCGCUUUUGGAGCGGCCGAMGUCUGAUUAGCUAGUUGGUGGGGUAAUGGCCUACCAAAGCUUCGAUCAGUAGCUGGUCUGAGAGGACGGCCAGCCACACUGGGACUGAGACACGGCCCAGACUCCUACGGGAGGCAGCAGUGGGGAAUUUUGGACAAUGGGCGCAAGCCUGAUCCAGCCAUGCCGCGUGAGUGAAGAAGGCCUUCGGGUUGUAAAGCUCUUUCAGCCGGGAAGAAAAGGUUGCGAUUAACAAUCGCAAUUGAUGACGGUACCGGAAGAAGAAGCACCGGCUAACUACGUGCCAGCAGCCGCGGUAAUACGUAGGGUGCGAGCGUUAAUCGGAAUUACUGGGCGUAAAGGGUGCGCAGGCGGUUUUGUAAGUCAGAUGUGAAKUCCCCGGGCUUAACCUGGGAACU